AAAAAAAAAAUUCUUGAAAAUGCACUUUCAUAUGUCUCUUUGUAAUUUGGCUUAUUUAAAGCUAAUGUACUUGCACUUACUACUAGUUGUCUGGAGUUUGCACCUUCAAGGUUGAAAGCACUUUAUUGGAAGUUGCUUUGGAUAAAAGUGUCAGCUAA
Etheostoma spectabile (orangethroat darter) is the source of this 158-nucleotide long non-coding RNA. RefSeq lists it as uncharacterized. The transcript is spliced from 3 exons. Lineage: Eukaryota; Metazoa; Chordata; Actinopteri; Perciformes; Percidae. The record is from RefSeq and is a predicted model, not a curated record.